Molecule: ribosomal RNA, 255 nt
Filed under: uncultured bacterium
Lineage: Bacteria
Description: partial 16S ribosomal RNA
Rfam family: Bacterial small subunit ribosomal RNA
Source: RNAcentral
GGCGGACGGGUGAGUAAUGUCUGGGAAACUGCCUGAUGGAGGGGGAUAACUACUGGAAACGGUAGCUAAUACCGCAUAACGUCGCAAGACCAAAGAGGGGGACCCUCGGGCCUCUUGCCAUCGGAUGUGCCCAGAUGGGAUUAGCUAGUAGGUGGGGUAACGGCUCACCUAGGCGACGAUCCCUAGCUGGUCUGAGAGGAUGACCAGCCACACUGGAACUGAGACACGGUCCAGACUCCUACGGGAGGCAGCAUG